AGCCGGGGAAUUAGCGGAGCCUUGUACCUACAAUCCGCUUUAGUAGGGGUGAUAUUCUAUUGAGGAUUAAUUUUUGUGAGAACGCCCCGAAGGAAUGGAUGUUGAUGCUUAGGUCCUUUGCAGCUAAUCUCUUCGAAUCGUGUCAGGGCAGGAAUGCAGCAGCACUAAGACGUUGUAUUAGUGUGACGAAGAUAAAUUUAAGCUGAGUUUAUUCUUUCGGGAAACACUUGGGGAAAUUUCUUCG
This 244-nucleotide signal recognition particle RNA is filed under the name bovine gut metagenome. RNAcentral's name for it is "Bacterial large signal recognition particle RNA". It matches the Rfam family "Bacterial large signal recognition particle RNA". Rfam says of the family: The signal recognition particle (SRP) is a universally conserved ribonucleoprotein involved in the co-translational targeting of proteins to membranes. Archaeal SRP consists of a 7S RNA and homologues of the eukaryotic SRP19 and SRP54 proteins. The record is from RNAcentral.